This is a long non-coding RNA of Oncorhynchus tshawytscha (Chinook salmon), 1615 nucleotides long. Lineage: Eukaryota; Metazoa; Chordata; Actinopteri; Salmoniformes; Salmonidae. The record is from Ensembl.
CGUAGUCACACAUAUGUUUGAUACCGUUCCAUUAAUUCCAUUCCAGUCUUUACAAUUAGCAUGUCCUCAUAUAGCUCCUCACACCAAUCUCCUCUGCUGUGCACAGUAUUUUUCAGCGACAACAUGUUUGGGGCGUUUGUCUUCGUUUACACACAGGUGUUCGGGAAACGCAGAUUGGUAUUUACCACAGAUGGGUGGACCGGAAACCCAGUGACAACACUUGGGUCUGCAGGUGCCAUUUUCCUGCGGGAAAGAGAAAUGGCCCUGUAUUUACCAGAAAAGGUGCUCGUCCACCAUGGCAGAAGAGGAAGAUCCGGACUGUUGUUUGGGAAACAAGAACAAACAAUGAGGCGUGAGGAUUAGGUGUUGAGGGACCACAUGUCACAUUGUCCAAGUUCAACAGAGUGCAUCCCUCAGGCCUUCCGGUACAUGGAUAACCUGUGCCAGUGUGAUCCGAGCGCAAGAGUCCAGUUGUAGACUACAGCAGAUCGAGCUUGUGGACGGACAGAUCAUGACAACUUUGGGAGCAUGUGGUCCUUGAAAAACUCCUCUAGUCCAGCAAUAUGAGUCUGCCAAAGGUCGUCACGCUGGAUGGGGAUGGUGAUGGAGGCUAUGGUGGUCCACUCAACAAAGAAGCAACUGUCCCUUCCAGUGGAGAUGCCCUUGGACCUGGUGCCAGUAAGGAUAGUCUUCACGGUGGCGUUAAUACCCUCACUCCUCAUGGAUAUAGAAAUCCUUCAACUUCACUGCGUCUUCAAUGGUAAAUUCUCUUGCACCAUACGGACACUUGACCUCCACCACUGCUGUGGUGCCCACCAAACCAUCCGGUGAGAUACCCAGGAUCCCAUAGCCUGUGUCCCAAAGCCCUGACUCCUGCACAUCCAUCCCUGUAGCCAUUUUGAAUGCCUUGAUACCCUCAUCUUCAUUAUCUGUGCCCCACUUUACAGACAACACCCCAUCCAACGACUGUGAUUGGAGGACCCUUUUUUUUAUAGCAGCGACAAAGUAAUGCUCUUAGUCCUAACUGCUACAAAUUGCUGGCCGUCAACCUCCUCUCCUCAUGGUGUGUCAGUUGAGGUUGGUGCUCUGUCAAACGUUUGCCUGCUGUAUAGCCUCCUGCUGCUCCACCGGCAGCGCCAUGCCAGCCAAGAUGCCUGCAUGCCCUAGGUGCCCUUCUUUUUAACAAUGUCCGGUACAGACAGGUUCUUAUGGCUCAGGUUCAUGGAGCCAUGCCAUUCCACUGAACCUGCACCAGAGGCUGUUCCUUAGCCACUGAAGAUCCUCCUCUGUUGGCUCUCGGGACAGAGGGUUGUAAGUGUUCUGCCGGGUACAGGUCCUCCACUGACUGCACCUGGUUGGGCACGACUGGCUUCCUCUACUCGCAUUCCACAUACGUACAGCCAAUAACUGCAAAAAUAGCUAAUGCAGCCACAUGGCUACACUUAUGAGCUCCACGGCAGCAUUCACAUGUGGUAGAUAGAAUCGCCUGGUCACCAAUAGAGAAAUGCCAAGAGGAAGGAUUUUAAGUGCCACGUGCCUUUCAAUGCAUGACUUUGAAUGCCAUGAACUGCAUUUGUUGUAAGAAAUGUGUUGUAUAAAUAAAGUUUGAUUUAAU